RNAcentral lists this small nucleolar RNA (181 nucleotides) under Exophiala dermatitidis NIH/UT8656. Lineage: Eukaryota; Fungi; Ascomycota; Eurotiomycetes; Chaetothyriales; Herpotrichiellaceae. The record is from RNAcentral.
ACGUCUCUUACCUCGCUCGGUCCAUCGUUUCCAUCGAUUGAUCUUGAGCUGGAUGCUGUCCGCUUCUUCUAGUGGUCCACGCAUGAGACAAGAGCAAUGCCGACUUUGGCACUGGCCGAUCUUUGAGUACGAUCCCAUGUUUUGCGAUAUGGUGGGUGUUGUAAUUUAUGCGGCAAGACAU